Molecule: ribosomal RNA, 863 nt
Filed under: uncultured organism
Description: bacterial SSU rRNA
Rfam family: Bacterial small subunit ribosomal RNA
Source: RNAcentral
UUGCACUGUGCUGAGAGUGGCGGACUGGUGAGUAACACGUAGGUGAUCUACCUUGAGGCCUGGGAUAGCCUGUGGAAACACAGGGUAAGACCGGAUGAGCCCCUGUACUUGCGGGUAGAGGGGGAAAGGUGCUAUGGCACCGCCUUAAGAUGAGCCUGCGUCCCAUUAGUUAGUUGGUGGGGUAAAGGCCUACCAAGGCGACGAUGGGUAGCCGGCCUGAGAGGGUGAUCGGCCACACUGGGACUGAGACACGGCCCAGACUCCUACGGGAGGCAGCAGCUAAGAAUCUUCCGCAAUGGACGAAAGUCUGACGGAGCGACGCCGCGUGAACGAAGAAGGCCGGAAGGUUGUAAAGUUCUUUUGCGGGUGAAGAAUAAGGCGAGGAGGGAAUGCCUCGCUGAUGACGUUAGCCUGUGAAUAAGCCCCGGCUAAUUACGUGCCAGCAGCCGCGGUAACACGUAAGGGGCGAGCGUUGUUCGGAAUUAUUGGGCGUAAAGGGCGUGUAGGCUGUUUUGUAAGCCUGGUGUGAAAGUGCACGGCUUAACUGUGUAUGUGCGCUGGGAACUGCAAGACUAGAGUCCGGAAGGGGGAGGUAGAAUUCCUGGUGUAGGGGUGAAAUCUGUAGAUAUCAGGAAGAAUACCGGUGGCGAAGGCGACCUCCUGGUCCUGGACUGACGCUGAGGCGCGAAAGCGUGGGGAGCGAACAGGAUUAGAUACCCUGGUAGUCCACGCUGUAAACGAUGUGCACUAGGUGUUGGGGCAAGAGCUUCAGUGCCGAAGCGAACGCGAUAAGUGCACCGCCUGGGGAGUAUGCUCGCAAGGGUGAAACUCAAAGGAAUUGACGGGGGCCCGCACAAGCGGUG